CCAGACACAGAGGAAGCAAGAUGAGAAUGCUGUACUGAGAAAAAGUUUGUGUCAAGUUGGCAAAAGCCAACCAGCAGCGAGCCUCUCUAUGCAUUCUGGGAAAGAGAGUCUGCCCAUUAGCUGAAGAAGCAGGAGAAGCUGAGAUGAAUGUCAUGGAAGGGACAGUUGAUCCACGAUGGUCCAGUGAGUGCUACAAGCCUUGGGAACAUGGAGAAGACAGGUCUCAGUCACUGGGGGACAUCCUCACUCUUCCUGCGGAAGGCAGGGUCUCUUGUAGCCCCGGUUGGCCUUGGACUGGCUAUAUAACCAAGGAUAACCUCUGACCUCUACCAUCCAAGUGCCGGGAUGACAGGCCUGCAUGGAGGAAGGGGCCUGAGGUUCUGAAGAUCGAUGCUGCUCCAAUACUCGCCCCCUGCGGCAAGCUCCCGACAUCUCUUCCACAGUAAUAAUUAGCGACAGAAAUAUCUGACCUACUUAAGACUCCACAAAUACACACA
Long non-coding RNA from Peromyscus maniculatus bairdii (prairie deer mouse), 497 nucleotides. RefSeq lists it as uncharacterized. NCBI's taxonomy places the organism in Eukaryota, Metazoa, Chordata, Mammalia, Rodentia, Cricetidae. The record is from RefSeq and is a predicted model, not a curated record.